Molecule: long non-coding RNA, 154 nt
Filed under: Mus musculus (house mouse)
Lineage: Eukaryota; Metazoa; Chordata; Mammalia; Rodentia; Muridae
Description: predicted gene, 56863
Source: RNAcentral
GCCAGUGUUCUAGCAGCCUUCAGAUGAAGAGGUAAGACUCUCAGCUCCUCUUGCACCAUGCCUGCCUGGAUGCUGCCAUGCUCCUGCCUUGGUGAUAAUGGACUGAACCUCUGAACCUGUAAGCCAGCCCCAAUUAAAUGUUGUCCUUAUGAGA